GACGAACGCUGGCGGCGUGCUUAACACAUGCAAGUCGAACGGAAAGGCCCUGCUUUUGUGGGGUGCUCGAGUGGCGAACGGGUGAGUAACACGUGAGUAACCUGCCCUUGACUUUGGGAUAACUUCAGGAAACUGGGGCUAAUACCGGAUAGGAGCUCCUGCUGCAUGGUGGGGGUUGGAAAGUCUCGGCGGUUGGGGAUGGACUCGCGGCUUAUCAGCUUGCUGGUGGGGUAGUGGCUUACCAAGGCUUUGCCGGGUCGCCGGCCUGAGAGGGUGACCGGCCACAUUGGGACUGAGAUACGGCCCAGACGGCUACGGGAGGCAGAAGUGGGGAAUAUUGCACAAUGGGCGGAAGCCUGAUGCAGCAACGCCGCGGGCGGGAUGACGGCCUUCUGGUUAUAAACCGCUUUCGCCUGUGACGAAGCGUGAGUGACGGUAAUGGGUAAAGAAGCACCGGCUAACUACGUG
This 468-nucleotide ribosomal RNA is filed under the name uncultured bacterium. RNAcentral describes it as "partial 16S ribosomal RNA". It matches the Rfam family "Bacterial small subunit ribosomal RNA", at positions 28 to 507 of the family's 1533-position model. The record is from RNAcentral.